Calypte anna (Anna's hummingbird) is the source of this 1459-nucleotide long non-coding RNA. RefSeq lists it as uncharacterized. NCBI's taxonomy places the organism in Eukaryota, Metazoa, Chordata, Aves, Apodiformes, Trochilidae. The transcript is spliced from 3 exons. The record is from RefSeq and is a predicted model, not a curated record.
CUGACACCGCUCCGCACCGCCUGACACCUCCCCGAACAGCCUGAUACCGCCCCGCCCCGCACCGCCUGACACCGCACCGCACCGCCUGACACCGCACCGCCCCGCACCGCCCCUCAGCCUGAGCCCCCUGAGCUUAGCGCUGGGUCUGGGCUUUUCUCCGCGCUGGGGCCCGGCCUGGGCUUUUCCUGGAGCUUGUGCCCGGGCCCUGCGCUGCCCCUGCGGCAGGGCUGGGGUUGGGUCUGCGCUGGGGCCUGGGCUGGGGAUUUCUCCUAAAUCUGGGUCUGAGCUAAGCCUGAGAUUCAGCCCUGGGUUGGGCCAUGCCCUGCACCCCUCAGUAAUCCCCGGAGCCUCCGCAGCCGCUGGUGGUUGGGGCAGGGAGGGCAGAGUGUGGGGUCCCGCAAGCGAAGGGCAGGGGUAUCCGCAAAGCUCCCAGCCUCGUUAAUUAAGAAGGUGAUUUCACCCCGAGGGCUGUGUUGUUCUCCUCUCCUUCCUUCAAAAGCAAGACUAGAAUAAAAGCAGCAAGAAUUAGCUCGUUUGGGAUGAAGCAACCACCUCUGAGCAGGACUAAGCUGGUUGGGUCUGACUGGGGUCAGAUGGCAUUGAGCUGCUGCCUUUCUCCUGGGGCUUGGGGACACAAUGCUGCCCGGUGAAAGCAGGUGCUGGACCAGAAAUGCUGCUCCUGGCAUGUUCAAGGCUGGCAUGUUUUGCAGAGGAAGAACCUGUCUGGUAUGAGCUGGUCCCUAUCCUGGUGGAACCCCCAGUUCACAAGGUGAGGAUCCCCCUCACCUCCCCAUUGCUGGGCAGAAGGCAGAUUCCAGCAUCCACAGCUGCCCCUGCUGCAUCUCUCAGCAGCUUUGGGAGUUUUCCUGAGUCUGCUGGCACUUUGAGGCCAUUCCUGGGAGCUGCUGGGUGACUGCCCACCACUAGCAGACAAUCAGGUGCUUCCCAACUGGGGUUUCCACGGGGUUGGCAUGAUGGAAAUGCACCAUGGGCACCAAGCAGAGUUCCUGUGGGGCUUGGGGACAGCCAGCUAUGUUUCCACAGCCCCUCAAGUGCUCUCAUCUGAUGCCCCACCAACAGCCUUUCAGUUGCUGCUGUUAAUCUCCCUUUUCUGGAUCUUGAGAGACAAACUGUGGUUCCAGCCCUGCUGCCUGGGGAUGCUGAACACUGACUCUGGGACGUGGAGGACUGGGUUGAGCUUGACCCAGGUGCAGCCAAGGCAAGUUUCCCCCCAAAAUCUGGCAAGUUCAAGUGGUAUAUAUUGAGGGUGGGUCAGUUCUGGGAGAGGAACAGCACCAUGUUCCCAUGGCACCCUCUCCAUCCUGGGAGCAUCACCAACAUCCAGCAGCCAAGGAGAGACAGGCAGGUGAGGGAGGUGGGGAUGAGCUCAGACCCAUCGAGGUGUCCAUGGAAGUGGGGUGUGCAAGCUCAGCACCACAGGUGUCUGCCCAAAGAGGGU